GGUCGCUUAGCUCAGUUGGUUAGAGCGUGGUGCUAAUAGUCACGUGACGAAAACGCCAAGGUCGCGAGUUCGACCCUCGUAGUGACCA
Molecule: transfer RNA, 88 nt
Filed under: Westerdykella ornata
Lineage: Eukaryota; Fungi; Ascomycota; Dothideomycetes; Pleosporales; Sporormiaceae
Rfam family: tRNA
About the family: Transfer RNA (tRNA) molecules are approximately 80 nucleotides in length. Their secondary structure includes four short double-helical elements and three loops (D, anti-codon, and T loops). Further hydrogen bonds mediate the characteristic L-shaped molecular structure. tRNAs have two regions of fundamental functional importance: the anti-codon, which is responsible for specific mRNA codon recognition, and the 3' end, to which the tRNAs corresponding amino acid is attached (by aminoacyl-tRNA synthetases). tRNAs cope with the degeneracy of the genetic code in two manners: having more than one tRNA (with a specific anti-codon) for a particular amino acid; and 'wobble' base-pairing, i.e. permitting non-standard base-pairing at the 3rd anti-codon position.
Source: Rfam by way of RNAcentral